GUGCUGGGCAGGAAUACACACUCAUGUGUUUCCUAUUCACUGGAUUUUUAAUGCCCAAAUCUGUCCUAUGAAUUGGGAAGGCAGUUGUAGUUUUCCCGAUAGUCGGAUGGAGAAGCUGUCCAGGUUGCUUUCCCAUGAGUACUAAGCGGCUAAGACCAGAGCCCAGUGCUCCUGCCUUCCAGCCUGUCCACCUUUCCUGAGUUCCACCCACCAGCUGCCAUUGAUGGGGCACACCUCCCAGAACCCCUCCUCUGGGAUGGGGAGGGCUUCCUCUCUGCACACCCAUGCCCCGCGGGGCUUCCCUGAGCCAGGAGCUGCUACCUUACCUGGAAGCCCACUUUCUCCCUUUGCUCCUUUGUCUCCAGGAACGCCUUUGUCCCCUUUCAAUCCUGGGGGUCCCCUGGCACCUGGACUUCCCUGAGGACCCAUGACUCCAGCAGACCCUGGGGUGAAAGAAGAACUGGGUGAGCUAUGUACCCAUUUUUUUUUUUUAGCAUUUUUACCUUCCCACACAUGGAUUAACUAUCUUUAUUGCCCAGAAAUAGAUAGGCGGUCCCCAAUACCCAGCCAUGCAGCUCUCUGUACACUGACUGUCCCUGUCACGCAGCAAUCAACCCCUCUGUGUAAAACUGCCCCGCCACCCAACAACUAACCUUCCCUGAACACACUUCUCCGUUGCUGAGGACUCCAAUCUCCCUAGAUAGGAACCGUCCCCAGAGCCCCCUCAUGCACCCUUCUUGGAUACAGAUUCUCCCCGUAGUCCAGCAAUGCCACCUUUGCCUUUACGGGUGGUUGGGGGGUGGGGGUUAGGCAUUGACAGCUCCAAGCAGGCACAGGAGAACUGGACCCAGCUCAGCCCAGCUCUUUCCACUGCUCACCUGCUGCCCCUGCAUUUCCAGGGGCUCCACGCUCACCAGGGACGCCACGAUCUCCCUUAGGGCCUGCGGGGCCUCUUGCCCCUGCCGAGCCCUGCAUGCCAGGGGCACCGACUUCUCCUGAGGAAGGAACACACAGGAACAAACACAGCUAAGAAUCGGCCACAGACCAGCCACCUACCUUUGGGCCCAGCUUCUCCUUUUGGGCCUGGCUUGCCCUGAGGUCCUAUGUUCCCCUGCUUCCCCAGGGGACCUUCUCUUCCAGCUGGACCAGGCACACCAGGAGGUCCUGGAGGUCCUGAGGAAAAGCACCAGCCUGGUCAGUAAUAAUGAAGCCUCUUGGCAGAAGGAGUGUAGUAAGGUGAGGGUAAUAACAGAGGUGAGGGAGGCAGCAUUGUUGUCCUCCCAACAGCAGGUCCUAUCUGUCCUGAAAUGACCCAGUGCCUUCUUCCUGGGAUGGGCUCUGUGUGUGCCCACUGGCAUAUCCUCGCAGCUGCACCACCACCGGGAAACACCAGAAGUCGACACCCAGUUGCUCACCACUUGGCCCGGUGUCUCCCUUUGGUCCAGGUUCUCCAAUGGAGCCAUUGUCCCCUUUGGGCCCAACUGGGCCAGCUUCUCCAGGCAUCCCUGCUUUCCCUGCAGCUCCUGGCAAACCUGUAGCAGCAGAAGAAAUGGACAAAGACCUGGCCCUAGACCCAGAAAGGGCCAGCUGCCUGCGGGAUCAGCCCCCAGCAUUCCUUCAGGAUUCUGCAGAGCAUGAGACUUCCACUGUCACACACCCGGGUCCAGUGGUGACCCAGGAAAUGGGUAUCAACAUCCCCAUUUUAUAGAUGAGGAAGAAGCCUUCCAGAGUUGGAGGUGGAUUAAAGCCAAGACCUGUCUGACCUUCUAUGCUGUGCUCCUUCCCCUGCCCCAAGGCCAUUGCAUUGAUGGCAGGCAAUCUGUCAGCUCUUAUCUGUGAUCAUGGACUUCUGCAUUCCCCUUAUAUAUAUAUAUACACCAGGGAAACCUAUCAAAAAUGGCACCAGACAGGUGGUGCUAACUUGUUCAUUCA
Macaca mulatta (Rhesus monkey) is the source of this 1932-nucleotide non-coding RNA. The record is from RefSeq and is a predicted model, not a curated record. NCBI's taxonomy places the organism in Eukaryota, Metazoa, Chordata, Mammalia, Primates, Cercopithecidae.